This 1850-nucleotide long non-coding RNA is filed under the name Mus musculus (house mouse). RNAcentral's name for it is "long non-coding RNA chr19:5485377-5487227". The record is from RNAcentral. Lineage: Eukaryota; Metazoa; Chordata; Mammalia; Rodentia; Muridae.
UAAGGCCAGAACCUUCAGUGCCAGGGUAGUUCCCCUAAAUCCCAGGGGCAACUGGUUCAGCUAUUAGUCUCAGGGAGAAAGGUAUGGCUGCCCCCAUUUCUUUUUCUUACGGUUCUGACAAGGCUUCUGGAACUGCUGAGUCCUCUCCGUGAUGUUCCUCUGGCCUAAAGCCAGCGUGCCGAGUGCUCAGGCCUUCCGCCUCGGCCAGCUUCUGAGCCAGCUCCAGACCCUCUGGUGUGAGUGCAUACCUGGGAGGUGAGGGACACAUGAAGUUCCGUCUUCUUUAUCCCUGGCACGCUCUCUUUCUGUCCAUUAGGUGAGCCUGGAUAGAAGUUCAGUGGCUCUCCAUCUCCUCUGUGUCCUUGUCCCUCAGGUCAACUUCCUCAGGACCUCCCUAGUUGUGUCUCAGCUUUGUGAUGUGUCUCCCAAGUCCUUCCCCUGUCUUCACUCAGCACCACACCGUCCUCCCUCCCCUCAGAGGAUUAUACUUUCCAGAUCUCCAAUAUCAGGCUCUUUAGCAGGCAGGCUGGCCAUCCCCAGGCUCAGUAGCACCAGGUGUGAGAUUUUCUGGGCCAUGAGAGAGGCUAAGAAUGUCCUAAUUCCUGCAUGUGUCCCAUCCCUGCCUUGUGUGCUCCCUGCUGCUCGCCCAACCUGGCUGGCCGAUGCGUUCCAAGGAUGAGGUUCCUAUGGAGGAGGCUCCGGAGGGCAGGCCAGGGUUUCGAACUUCCAGGCACUACCUGUGAAAGGGAUGGAGACCCUCAGAGAGUCCCUAAUACUCCAAGCCUACACUUCCCGGGCCCCUAGCCAUAUGCCACAUUUGGAUCAGGCUGCAUACCAAGGGUGCCUGCCAUGGAGGGAGAGCUGCCAUGGGAUCUACCUGCCCACUCUCAGAAGAUGCUCACCCUGGGGGUCUUCUGGGCACACUUCUGCAGCAGCUCCUCUUUGGUUAGGAAGCUGUGGCCAUCAGAAUUCUGAAACAAUGGUUGAAGUGAGCGUAGGUUCAGGUCCAGCGCUCCUCCCCCUGCUAUGCGGUGGCCAGUUUGCAUGCUGUCCAGGCAUAUUUCUGUGAGCCUGCUGCUUUGCCCCACCCACGCGCCUGACUUGCUCACCAGGUGCUCCCUGUAGAGUUGCAGCAGGAUCUCUCGAGCACCUGAGUUCUGAGCUGGCCAAUAGCCAACACUGGUGCUUCCUGCUUGAGGCUGGGUGGGAACCUGAGAGAGACAGAGGGGCUCGCUGAAUUCCAAUGCCUGUCAGCUGAGGUUUCAGCAGGCCCCAUGGGCCUGGCGAGGGAGAUGAGGCUACAAGCCCUAGUAAAUCUGGAAUGUGAUGGUGGCCAGAGCAAAAGUUGGGGGUAUGGCCCAGGCCCAGGCCCAGCCCCAACCCCUGGAGAACAGUAACAUGGUACACGUCCCACAACUUCCUGGGCUGGAUCUUUUGGCAGCUCUCUUUGGGAGUCUGACUACCGUGAUCCCAAUAAUCCUACUUAGGAUUUAAGGUGGUGCCUCUCAAAGAGGGUAAGAGACUGUCCCAAGCCAAUCUCAAUCAAUAAGAGCUGGAUCCAGGGCUGUUCAACCCCUCAAACCAAGAAGUCUACAAUCAACGACCCCUCCCCCCAUUUAGCUUUCUACUUCCUUUCCCAAUCCUCACUGGCAUGGAAGAGUCCUGGACUUGCUCAGGUGGCCCUUUGCUGGCUCCCUUCUUUCCAGAUGGUGAGCUGGGGGCAUGGUCACCUAUAGAGAUCAGAAGAGAGUUAGUCCUGCACACAGUCUGGCUGCCCGGAGGAGCUUAGAUGGAGUUGCUCAGUGUGUGAAUUUGAGUGUCAUAUUUUAAAACGUUUUUGUGUUUUCUUG